This 497-nucleotide ribosomal RNA is filed under the name uncultured bacterium. RNAcentral's name for it is "partial 16S ribosomal RNA". It matches the Rfam family "Bacterial small subunit ribosomal RNA", at positions 28 to 507 of the family's 1533-position model. The record is from RNAcentral.
GAUGAACGCUGGCGGCGUGCCUAAUACAUGCAAGUCGAGCGAACAGAUGAGGAGCUUGCUCCUCUGACGUUAGCGGCGGACGGGUGAGUAACACGUGGAUAACCUACCUAUAAGACUGGGAUAACUUCGGGAAACCGGAGCUAAUACCGGAUAAUAUAUUGAACCGUAUGGUUCAAUAGUGAAAGACGGUUUUGCUGUCACUUAUAGAUGGAUCCGCGCCGCAUUAGCUAGUUGGUAAGGUAACGGCUUACCAAGGCAACGAUGCGUAGCCGACCUGAGAGGGUGAUCGGCCACACUGGAACUGAGACACGGUCCAGACUCCUACGGGAGGCAGCAGUAGGGAAUCUUCCGCAAUGGGCGAAAGCUUGACGGAGCAACGCCGCGUGAGUGAUGAAGGUCUUCGGAUCGUAAAACUCUGUUAUUAGGGAAGAACAAAUGUGUAAGUAACUAUGCACGUCUUGACGGUACCUAAUCAGAAAGCCACGGCUAACUACGUG